This 520-nucleotide ribosomal RNA is filed under the name uncultured bacterium. RNAcentral's name for it is "bacterial SSU rRNA". It matches the Rfam family "Bacterial small subunit ribosomal RNA", at positions 15 to 518 of the family's 1533-position model. The record is from RNAcentral.
GAUAUGGCUCAGAUUGAACGCUGGCGGCGUGCUUAACACAUGCAAGUCGAACGCGAAAGGGACUUCGGUCCUGAGUAAAGUGGCGCACGGGUGAGUAACGCGUGGAUAAUCUGCCCUUAUGAUCGGGAUAACAGUUGGAAACGGCUGCUAAUACCGGAUACGCUCAAAAUGAACUUUUUGAGGAAAGAUGGCCUCUGCUUGCAUGCUAUCACGUAAGGAUGAGUCCGCGUCCCAUUAGCUUGUUGGCGGGGUAACGGCCCACCAAGGCAACGAUGGGUAGCCGAUUUGAGAGGAUGAUCGGCCACACUGGAACUGAAACACGGUCCAGACUCCUACGGGAGGCAGCAGUGGGGAAUAUUGCGCAAUGGGCGAAAGCCUGACGCAGCGACGCCGCCGUGGGGGAUGAAGGUUUUCGGAUCGUAAACCUCUGUCAGAAGGGAAGAAACUACGUUGUGCUAAUCAGCAGCGUACUGACGGUACCUUCAAAGGAAGCACCGGCUAACUCCGUGCCAGCCGCCGC